This is a long non-coding RNA of Amphiprion ocellaris (clown anemonefish), 2467 nucleotides long. RefSeq lists it as uncharacterized. The transcript is spliced from 4 exons. Lineage: Eukaryota; Metazoa; Chordata; Actinopteri; Pomacentridae. The record is from RefSeq and is a predicted model, not a curated record.
GAAAAUCUGCGCUGCGCACAAAAAAAAAUAAUCCAACCUAAAUUGUAAAUAAAAUAAACACGUAACAAUUCAUUCUGUGCUAUUUUUCAAUGUGAGUCAGUGAGUGACCGGUGACUGGCUGCUGCAGCCAAUGAUGCGAUUCACAUACGUAUUUACCAUAGACUGUAUAUAAUGGUAUUUACGCAGCUAAUCAACGUCAGGCGUCCUUAUGUGCAGCCAUCGUUGUUCUCAUAGAUAUGAAUGAGUAGAUAGGACACGCCCCUUUGAGCUGCGUGCUACAGCAAGGCUAAGCUAGUGGGGGAAAAGUUUCAGUGCAUUCCGUUGAUGUAGACGGCGUGAAAACGUAAACAACAAGUAUGCCGGCUCACUGUGCUGCAUACAGUUACACACUACGUCGUACGAUUGAGACAAGGAAACUUGGAAUGACUUUUCAUAGGUUUCCCAGAGACUAUGGGUUGAGGAGGAAUUGGAAGUUUGUCGGCUUAGACCUGGUGUCAUUCCAUCAGUGUUAAACUUCCCGGCUCAUCUUGGAAGAGUACGUGCCAGAAAGACCACGACCAAGCAGCCUUGAGAUCUUAGACAGCGUCUCCCUGAGGUCCCUCUCUAUCUCCCCACACAUCCACCAACCACUGGAACACAUCUCCAAAGUUCUGCUGGACCAGCUCAGCUUCCCCUCAGAAGAAGUGGUGCCACCUGCCAGAUGAAGGAGCCUUUUGAGAGGCAGCUGGCAUCGUGAUUGGACUGUACUUUGGUCUGUUCCAAUCCAGCUUCAGCUCCAGAGACGGCAGGCGGGACGAGUCAACGGAGGCCGGAUGGACGAAGGUAUGCAGCUGAGUACAAUCCAGAAAACAGCAGAGGAGUAGUGCAGCAGCCCAGAGCCAGAACAAGCAGAACCAAAGAACUACAGACUCUUCACAACCUGCUCAAACUCUUGGUACAGGACCUCACCACACGGGUCAAGAAGGUUUCCGUCUCAUUUCUACUCUGAAGCUCACCUUCUCCUGCUCAAACUGCUGACAAAUGUUUCUGCUGCUCUAAAGUCUGGUCUCCAGAACUUCCUAAAAACUCUCAAAGUCUCUUCUGCUGCAGACUGCUUUGUAGAACUGUUCCAGAAAACCUCACUAAACCACACGGAGGAGCCUCAAGAUAGUCGUCCAAAUGAACCUGUACAAAAACCAAACUAGCACAACCCAAACGCUAAAGUCUCCUGCAGCCUACCAGAGAAGCUCUGAGAACAGAGAAUCAGGACAGGAACUCUUACCUUCUGGACAACCAACGUUGGUUCUCAAAGAAGAAUACAGAAUGUGUCUGACCAAAAACCUCUCAAGACUCACUACAGCCAAGAUAAAGACACAACUCACCUGCACCAAAUCCACUAAUCACUGCACACAUUAGUACCAUGUGCUAACUGUGGCUAAAGAACCACAUUUACCAAGACAACUAUCCAGUACAAAGCCCUGAAACACACCAAGAAACACAUUAAAGAUGAUUUUACUGCUGGAAGCUGCAAGCCAACGCCUAAAGAACAAACUAAAGCAAAGGAGUCAAACCCGGUUCAGUAGUGAAGAGAAACAGAGGAAAUGUUGGUCUGCAGCUAAAUAAAGCAGGAAGACACUGAGCUGCUCAGGUGUUCCUGAUAACACCAAGCUGCUCAGGUGUUCCUGAUAACACCAAGCAGCCACCUGGACAGCCAAUAGGAACACAGCUUCCUGGAAGUCCAGAGGGCUGGGUUAGUGAAUGAAAUUUAAUUUAAAGUUGAAGCAGAAAGUUAACAAAGAAAGUUGAAAACCACCUUCUGAUACCUGAAAUCUCUGAGUUUUCACACAAAGAACACCUGAACAUGUCAAACUGGUUCCACAGUAGAACCAUCAUUGUAAAAACGUCAUAGUAUGGUGUGUUGCUCAAAAAACAUUAGGACCCGGCUGUCAGGGGACAAACAUGUAAGAAACAUGAGAACAGAGAGAACCCAACCAGUAGGUCACAGUUUAUCAUCCCCCAGUCAUCUCCUGAAGUCCAUAUGGUGAGAGACAUCAGGAUCUGGUUGUUAAUUUACCAGAGGAUGCUUAUAAUCAUGCUGAUGUGGUCUGUACUCUACAGUAUUUUAGUGACUCAAUAAAUGCCUAAGUUGUUUUUUUUUUAAUGCUUUUCAGUUUUUAAUAAACAUUUAACAGCCUAUAUGUAAUCAAUAAAUGGCCUUUGCCUAUCUUAAGAAAAACUCACUCAGAACUCUGAUAUGUUAACAAUACUAAAUAAAUCAAUAAAUACAUGCAUACACACAAAAAUAAGUUAAUACAUUAACUGUGUUAAGAUAAGAUUUAGAUUUUUAAAAAAGUUGUUUAUGUUUUUGCAGAAUCCAGUAUUGCCCACUGGUUGGUCAUUACAUUUUGUUAGUUUGAUUUCACUGUUUAAAAUGAUGCCACCUCUUUUCAGACAGAACCUGUGAUAAUAAAACAAUACAAAAUUUUUA